CCAGACUCCUACGGGAGGCAGCAGUGGGGGAUAUUGCACAAUGGGCGAAAGCCUGAUGCAGCGACGCCGCGUGAGGGAAGACGGUCUUCGGAUUGUAAACCUCUGUCUUUGGGGAAGAAAUCAGACGGUACCCAAAGAGGAAGCUCCGGCUAACUACGUGCCAGCAGCCGCGGUAAUACGUAGGGAGCGAGCGUUGCCCGGAAUUACUGGGUGUAAAGGGAGCGUAGGCGGGCUUGUAGGUUGAAUGUCUAAUCCACCGGCUCAACCGGCGAUCGCGUUCAAAACUGCAGGUCUUGAGUGAAGUAGAGGCAGGCGGAAUUCCUAGUGUAGCGGUGAAAUGCGUAGAUAUUAGGAGGAACACCGGUGGCGAAGGCGGCUUACUGGACCAUAACUGACGUUGAGGUUCGAAAGCGUGGGGAGCGAACAGGAUUAGAUACCCUGGUAU
This 445-nucleotide ribosomal RNA is filed under the name uncultured bacterium. RNAcentral's name for it is "bacterial SSU rRNA". It matches the Rfam family "Bacterial small subunit ribosomal RNA", at positions 331 to 793 of the family's 1533-position model. The record is from RNAcentral.